GAUGAACGCUGGCGGCGUGCCUAAUACAUGCAAGUCGAGCGAACGGGCGAGAAGCUUGCUUCUCUGAUGUUAGCGGCGGACGGGUGAGUAACACGUGGAUAACCUACCUAUAAGACUGGGAUAACUUCGGGAAACCGGAGCUAAUACCGGAUAAUAUUUUGAACCGCAUGGUUCAAAAGUGAAAGACGGUCUUGCUGUCACUUAUAGAUGGAUCCGCGCUGCAUUAGCUAGUUGGUAAGGUAACGGCUUACCAAGGCAACGAUGCAUAGCCGACCUGAGAGGGUGAUCAGCCACACUGGAACUGAGACACGGUCCAGACUCCUACGGGAGGCAGCAGUAGGGAAUCUUCCGCAAUGGGCGAAAGCCUGACGGAGCAACGCCGCGUGAGUGAUGAAGGUCUUCGGAUCGUAAAACUCUGUUAUUAGGGAAGAACAUAUGUGUAAGUAACUGUGCACAUCUUGACGGUACCUAAUCAGAAAGCCACGGCUAACUACGUG
RNAcentral lists this ribosomal RNA (497 nucleotides) under uncultured bacterium. Its description in RNAcentral is "partial 16S ribosomal RNA". It matches the Rfam family "Bacterial small subunit ribosomal RNA", at positions 28 to 507 of the family's 1533-position model. The record is from RNAcentral.